Molecule: Y RNA, 109 nt
Filed under: Macaca fascicularis (crab-eating macaque)
Lineage: Eukaryota; Metazoa; Chordata; Mammalia; Primates; Cercopithecidae
Description: Y RNA (ENSMFAG00000050599.1)
Rfam family: Y RNA
About the family: Y RNAs are components of the Ro ribonucleoprotein particle (Ro RNP), in association with Ro60 and La proteins. The Y RNAs and Ro60 and La proteins are well conserved, but the function of the Ro RNP is not known.
Source: RNAcentral
GGCGGUCCGAAGGUAGUGCCUUAUCUCAAUUGAUAGUGCAGUCAGUUAUAGAUCAGACUCCUUGUUUUGCUCUUUCCCCCUUCUCACUACUGCACUUGACUAGUCUUUA